CAUAGUUUCUCUCUUGAAACUGUGUAUUAAAUUUAACAAACAUGUAACAAAUUUGCCCUUUGUGAUCCCCUUUUGAAUAUUUUGUUUUUUUCUGUGUAUCUUUUAAAAUGUUUUAUUAAUUCUUUUUCAUCUUCUUCCUUAUUUCCCUACCUCCUUUCUUUUCUUCCUUCCUUCCUUCCUUCCUUCCUUCUGUCUCUCCCUCCCCCUCUUUCCGUCCAUCUCUCUCUCCAUCUCUGCCUGUCUGUCUCUCUGUAUCGGUUACUAUCCACUAACUCCCUUCCUCUCUUGUAACCCCGAGACCUUCGUGACCAUCCAGCCUUUGAACCCUUUGGUGCGUCGCCAGUGCAGUCCACAGAAUCUCUCUGCAAGGACAUGGUCUCCAGGAGCGGCUGUGCCUGAAGAUUGCCUCCCCCAGAGGCUGGUCUGCUGUCUCUUCCCAACUGAUUUCGGCUUCGUAAAACCUGACAGGGUGAGUGCUGGGAGCAUCCCAGACUGUUAUGAUGCCAGAAUGCAUUUACCUCCUCCAGAAACUGCCCUUAUCUCCCCACUGGUAACGACCUCUUCCCUCUUGCUGCCUCCCUUCUCCAUGUCCUGGUUGGCACUGGUCUGCGAGCUCUAGGGGACCAAGACUUCAAGGUAGGUUUCCCUCCCUGUCCUACUUCACCUAGCCAAGAGCUCUCUGUCCUUCGUCCCUGGUUUGGCCUGGCCCUCCCUCCAGCCACACAGAUUUGCACCCAGCGGAGGGUGUCAUGGAUGGGUACUGCAUAGACUCUAGAGGAAACUCAGGCCCACAGAGGGGCAGGUCUUAGUCUCUGGUCACAAGAGGAGCAAGAGGCAGAGCCUAGAUUUGAUUCAGGGUCACUGACUUCAAGUUGAGUGCUGGCUGGGUGACAAUUUGCUGGAGGUGAAAAACUGUAAUUACUUCAUGGUCCAUGAGGUCAUGAGGAGCCCGGAGCUGAACCUAGCUCCCUGGCCUCCUCCAAUAAAUACUACAGCAGCUUAAUCA
RNAcentral lists this long non-coding RNA (1006 nucleotides) under Monodelphis domestica (gray short-tailed opossum). RNAcentral describes it as "lncRNA (ENSMODG00000044727.1)". Lineage: Eukaryota; Metazoa; Chordata; Mammalia; Didelphimorphia; Didelphidae. The record is from RNAcentral.